UACGAAGGGGGCUAGCGUUGUUCGGAAUUACUGGGCGUAAAGCGCGUGUAGGCGGGUCUUUAAGUCAGGGGUGAAAUGCCAAGGCUCAACCUCGGAACUGCCUUUGAUACUGGAGACCUUGAGUCCGGGAGAGGUGAGUGGAAUUGCGAGUGUAGAGGUGAAAUUCGUAGAUAUUCGCAAGAACACCAGUGGCGAAGGCGGCUCACUGGCCCGGAACUGACGCUGAGACGCGAAAGCGUGGGGAGCAAACAGG
RNAcentral lists this ribosomal RNA (253 nucleotides) under uncultured bacterium. RNAcentral's name for it is "partial 16S ribosomal RNA". It matches the Rfam family "Bacterial small subunit ribosomal RNA", at positions 524 to 776 of the family's 1533-position model. The record is from RNAcentral.